This is a non-coding RNA of Brachypodium distachyon (stiff brome), 136 nucleotides long. The record is from Rfam. Lineage: Eukaryota; Viridiplantae; Streptophyta; Magnoliopsida; Poales; Poaceae.
UAACUACUUCCUCCGUUCAACAAAUGAUGUCUCAACUUUGACUGAAUUUGAAUGCAUCUAUAUGCUAAGUCAUGUCUACAUACAUUCAAAUUUUGACAAACUUGAGACAUCUUUUGUUGAACGGAGGGAGUAUAAG